UUAAGCUACUAAGGGCGUACGGUGGAUGCCUUGGCGUCAAAUGCCGAUGAAGGACGUGGAACACUGCGAUAAGCCUCGGGGAGCCGUGUGCAGGCUUCGAUCCGGGGAUGUCCGAAUGGGGAAACCCGGCGUCGGGACGCAAGUCUCCGAUGUCAUCCCCUAGCUGAACACAUAGGCUAGGGGAGGGGAACCUGGGGAACUGAAACAUCUUAGUACCCAGAGGAAAAGAGAUCAUUCCGCUAGUAGUGGCGAGCGAACGCGGAAAAGCCCAAACCGACCUGGCUUGCCGGGUCGGGGUUGUAGGACCGGCACAUAGGAGUGAUAAAUCUAAGGGUUAGCAGAAUGGUGUUGAAAAGCCUACCGCAGAGGGUGCUAGUCCCGUAUGCGAAAACCUGAAGACUCCUGCCGAGUUCCUGAGUACUGCCGGGCACGCUAAUCCGGUAGGAAGCUGGGGAGCCCACUCUCCAAGGCUAAAUACGUUUGGCGACCGAUAGUGAACAAGUACCGUGAGGGAAAGGUGAAAAGGACCCCUGUUAGGGGAGUGAAAUAGAACCUGAAACCGUGUGCCUACAAGCAGUCGGAGGGCUAAUGGCGCGUCUGUGUACCCGGGAAACCGGGAAAUGCGGCGCUAUGCCUGACGGCGUGCCUUUUGGAGAAUGAACCAGCGAGUUAAUUUCUGUGGCGAGGUUAAGGGAGUGACACCUGGAGCCGAAGCGAAAGCGAGUCUGAAUAGGGCGAAUUAGUCGCAGGAAUUAGACACGAAACGGAGUGAGCUACCCAUGGCCAGGGUGAAGUCCCGGUAAAACGGGAUGGAGGCCCGAACCUUUAGAUGUUGCAAAAUCUUGGGAUGAGCUGUGGGUAGAGGUGAUAUGCCAACCGAACUCCGAGAUAGCUUGUUCUCCCCGAAAUAGCUUUAGGGCUAGCGUCGUGCGUUCAGUACCGGAGGUAGAGCACUGGAUGGGCUAAGGGGCUUAUCGCUUACUAAACCUAACCAAACUCCGAAUGCCGGUACUCUAGAGCACGGCAGUCGGACCACGGGAGAUGAGUUUCGUGGUCGAAAGGGAAAGAGCCCAGACCAUCGGCUAAGGUCCUCAAAUCUGAGCUAAGUGGGAAACGAUGUGGGAUUGUUGAGACAGCCAGGAGGUUGGCUUAGAAGCAGCCAUCCUUUAAAGAGUGCGUAACAGCUCACUGGUCAAACGAUCCUGCGCGGAUAAUGUAACGGGGCUUAAGUUCAGUACCGAAGCCAUGGGUUUGUCCCUCUUGCGAGAGGGAUGAGCGGUAGGGGAGCGUUCUGUCUGCAUGGAAGGGUGACCGUGAGGACGCCUGGAGCGGGCAGAAGUGAGAAUGCUGGUAUGAGUAGCGUAAAACACGUGAGAACCGUGUUCGCCGUAAGUCUAAGGUUUCCGACGGAAGGUCAAUCCGCGUCGGGUUAGUCGGUCCUUAGCCGAGGCCGAAAGGCGUAGGCGAUGGAUAUCCGGUCAAUAUUCCGGAACCACCUAGGAGGAGCGAUGGGGUGACGCGGCGGGGUAGGCCAGCCUGCGAUUGGUUGUGUAGGUGCUAAGCGUGUAGGCGUUGAGGGACAUAGGAAAAUCCGUGUCCUGAGCCGAGGCGCGAUGGCGUGGCCCUGAGCCGGAAGUGGUUGAGCCCGGCCGCCAAGAAAACCCUCUAAGUGAUGAACCCUGGGUGCCCGUACCGCAAACCGACACUGGUAGACGGGUAGAGCAUACCAAGGCGAACGGGAGAACCCUCGUUAAGGAACUAGGCAAAUUGACCCCGUAACUUCGGGAGAAGGGGUGCCUUUUCAGGUGAAAUUCGAACGGAUGGAGCUUGAAAAGGCCGCAGUGAAAGGGCUCUGGUGACUGGUUAACAAAACCACAGGUCUCUGCUAAGCCGCAAGGCGAUGUAUAGGGGCUGACGCCUGCCCAGUGCCGGAAGGUUAAAGGGAAGGGUUAUCCCGCGUAAGCGGGAAAAGCUCAGAACUGAAGCCCCGGUGAACGGCGGCCGUAACUAUAACGGUCCUAAGGUAGCGAAAUUCCUUGUCGGGU
This 2045-nucleotide ribosomal RNA is filed under the name uncultured bacterium. RNAcentral describes it as "bacterial LSU rRNA". It matches the Rfam family "Bacterial large subunit ribosomal RNA", at positions 3 to 1977 of the family's 2925-position model. The record is from RNAcentral.